RNAcentral lists this ribosomal RNA (305 nucleotides) under uncultured bacterium. RNAcentral describes it as "bacterial SSU rRNA". It matches the Rfam family "Bacterial small subunit ribosomal RNA", at positions 335 to 657 of the family's 1533-position model. The record is from RNAcentral.
AGGCCUACGGGAGGCAGUAGUGAGGAAUAUUGGUCAAUGGGGGAAACCCUGAUGCAGCAACGCCGCGUGAGUGAAGAAGUCAUUCGUGAUGUAAAGCUCUAUCAGCAGGGAAGAAAAUGACGGUACCUGAGUAAGGAGCCCCGGCUAACUACGUGCCAGCAGCCGCGGUAAUACGUAGGGGGCAAGCGUUAUCCGGAUUUACUGGGUGUAAAGGGAGCGUAGACGGCCAGACAAGUCUGAAGUGAAAAUCCAGCGCUUAGCGUUGGAAGUGCUUUGGAAACUGCCGGGCUAGAGUGCAGGAGGGG